AUUUGAAUGUUCAAAUCAGUAUCCCCAUAAUUCUCGAUACACAAUAUCAAAAUUAACUACAAAUUGAAAUAAAUUACAACAAUACAACCUGUAAAUAAUUUAAAGCCCAAAAUAUGGGAGAACUAGAAAGGAGAAGGCAGAAAUCAACCUGUAGAACCAACAAUCAAAAAGUAUGUCAUCGAUCAACAAGAAAGAUGUGUGAGUCCCCCUUUGUCGAAAAACCGAUUUCUCUCUUUCCCGUCAGUUUGUGUCAUUCCGGCAACAUGGGAUUGCGAAUCUGUUGAAAAAGUUUCUUUAGGUUGUGACAAGCUGAAUGGAACUUAGACGCAACGAGAAGGUGGCCAGAAAUAGCAGUUUCCAUUCAUGUUUCAUCUUGUGGGUACACGAGUUGACCUAUCACUCACCGCUCAAUUUCUCUAUCAGCGUUGACAUUUCAAGAGUUGCCGGAGUUGCUUGAGGAUGCUAAGGUCGCUGCCAUCACCGGUGGUUGUUGAUCUUGACUAGAAGAAAAUGAACAAAGCGGAA
This 525-nucleotide unclassified non-coding RNA is filed under the name Hevea brasiliensis (rubber tree). The record is from RNAcentral. Lineage: Eukaryota; Viridiplantae; Streptophyta; Magnoliopsida; Malpighiales; Euphorbiaceae.